GAUGAAGAACGUAGCGAAAUGCGAUAAGUAAUGUGAAUUGCAGAAUUCAGUGAAUCAUCGAAUCUUCGAACGCACCUUGCGCCCUUUGGCCAUUCCGAAGGGCAUGCCUGUUUGAGUAUCAUGAACACCUCAACUCUUUAUGGUUUUCCAUGAUGAGCUUGGACUCUGGGGGUUUUGCUGGCUCACAGUCGGCUCCUCUAAAAUGAAUCAGCUUACCAGUGUUUGGUGGGUAUCAUGGGUGUGAUAACUAUCUACGCUUGUGGUUUUUCCACCAGGUAACCUUAAGCAGUGGAGGUUCGCUGGAGCUCAUAGAUGUCUCUCCUCAGUGAGGACAGCCCUUUGAAUGUUUGAUCUCAAAUCAGGUAGGACUACCCGCUGAACUUAAGCAUAUCAAUAAGCGGAGGA
RNAcentral lists this unclassified non-coding RNA (405 nucleotides) under soil metagenome. RNAcentral describes it as "partial contains 5.8S ribosomal RNA, internal transcribed spacer 2, and large subunit ribosomal RNA". The stretch from base 1 to 121 matches the Rfam family "5.8S ribosomal RNA", at positions 35 to 154 of the family's 154-position model. The record is from RNAcentral.